AUUGAACGCUGUCGGCAGGCCUAACACAUGCAAGUCGAUCGGAUUAAGUGAGCUUGCUCCUGGAUUCAGCGGCGGACGGGUGAGUAAUGCCUAGGAAUCUUCCUGGUAGUGGGGGAUAACGUCCGUAAACGGGCGCUAAUACCUCAUACGUCCUGAGGGAGAAAGUGGGGGAUCUUCGGACCUCACGCUAUCAGAUGAGCCUAGGUCGGAUUAGCUAGUUGGUGGGGUAAAGGCCUACCAAGGCGACGAUCCGUAACUGGUCUGAGAGGAUGAUCAGUCACACGGGAACUGAGACAAGGUCCAGACUACUAAGGGAGGGAGCAGUGGGGAAUAUUGGACCAAGGGCGAAAGCCUGAAACAGGCAUGCCGAGUGUGUCAAGAAGGUGUUCGGAUUGUAAAGCACUUUAAGUUGGGAGGAAGGGCAGUAAGUUAAUACCUUGCUGUUUUGACGUUACCAACAGAAUAAGCACCGGAUAACUUCGUG
Molecule: ribosomal RNA, 484 nt
Filed under: uncultured bacterium
Lineage: Bacteria
Description: partial 16S ribosomal RNA
Rfam family: Bacterial small subunit ribosomal RNA
Source: RNAcentral